Molecule: ribosomal RNA, 301 nt
Filed under: uncultured bacterium
Lineage: Bacteria
Description: partial 16S ribosomal RNA
Rfam family: Bacterial small subunit ribosomal RNA
Source: RNAcentral
CAGCAGCCACGGUAAUACGUAGGUCCCGAGCGUUGUCCGGAUUUAUGGGGCGUAAAGCGAGCGCAGGCGGUUAGAUAAGUCUGAAGUUAAAGGCUGUGGCUUAACCAUAGUACGCUUUGGAAACUGUUUAACUUGAGUGCAAGAGGGGAGAGUGGAAUUCCAUGUGUAGCGGUGAAAUGCGUAGAGAUGUGGAGGAACACCAGUGGCGAAAGCGGCUCUCUGGCUUGUAACUGACGCUGAGGCUCGGAAGCGUGGGGAGCAAACAGGAUUAGAUACCCGCGUAGUCCCUGUCUCUUAUACA